UUCUAAAUAGUUUAAUGAGAAUGUAAUUUUGAAGAAGUUAAGGUAGUGAGUAACUUUUGGAUA
Molecule: transfer RNA, 63 nt
Filed under: Cyamophila willieti
Lineage: Eukaryota; Metazoa; Arthropoda; Insecta; Hemiptera; Psyllidae
Description: tRNA-Phe
Source: RNAcentral